This 253-nucleotide ribosomal RNA is filed under the name uncultured bacterium. RNAcentral's name for it is "partial 16S ribosomal RNA". It matches the Rfam family "Bacterial small subunit ribosomal RNA", at positions 524 to 776 of the family's 1533-position model. The record is from RNAcentral.
UACGUAGGGGGCAAGCGUUGUUCGGAUUCAUUGGGCGUAAAGGGUGCGUAGGCGGCGCGGUAAGUCGGGUGUGAAAUCUUGGAGCUUAACUCCGAAACUGCAUUCGAUACUGCCGUGCUUGAGGACUGGAGAGGAGACUGGAAUUUACGGUGUAGCGGUGAAAUGCGUAGAUAUCGUAAGGAAGACCAGUGGCGAAGGCGGGUCUCUGGACAGUUCCUGACGCUGAGGCACGAAGGUCAGGGGAGCAAACGGG